UCCUUGCUUUUCCGCCUAUAUACCGCCGUCGUCAGCUUACCCUGUGAAGGACUUAUAGUAAGCAAAAUUGGCACAGCCUAAAACGUCAGGUCGAGGUGUAGCGCAUGAGAGGGGAAGAAAUGGGCUACAUUCACUGGCACAGUGAAUUACGAAAGAUGCUUUGAAACAACCGUCCGAAGGAGGAUUUAGCAGUAAGGAGGAAAAUAGAGCGUUCCCCUGAAACUGGCCCUGAAGCGCGCACACACCGCCCGUCACUCUCCCCAAGCUAAACAUCCUUAAUAAAUAAAACAAUAAAAUUGCAAAGGGGAGGCAAGUCGUAACAUGGUAAGUGUACCGGAAGGUGCACUUGGAAAAAU
RNAcentral lists this ribosomal RNA (356 nucleotides) under Ophiocara porocephalum (northern mud gudgeon). Its description in RNAcentral is "partial 12S ribosomal RNA". It matches the Rfam family "Bacterial small subunit ribosomal RNA", at positions 1024 to 1533 of the family's 1533-position model. Lineage: Eukaryota; Metazoa; Chordata; Actinopteri; Gobiiformes; Eleotridae. The record is from RNAcentral.